AGCUCCAAUAGCGUAUAUUAAAGUUGUUGCAGUUAAAAAGCUCGUAGUUGAAACUUGGGCCUGGACGGGCGGUCUACCUAUGGUGAGUACUGCAGCGUCCGGGUCUUUCCUUCUGGCUAGCCAUUGGCGAACCAGGACGAUUACUUUGAGGAAAUUAGAGUGUUCAAAGCAGGCCUUUGCUCGAAUAUAUUAGCAUGGAAUAAUAGAAUAGGACGUAUGGUUCUAUUUUGUUGGUUUCUAGGACCAUCGUAAUGAUUAAUAGGGACGGUCGGGGGCAUCAGUAUUCAGUUGUCAGAGGUGAAAUUCUUGGAUUAACUGAAGACUAACUACUGCGAAAGCAUUUGCCA
Molecule: ribosomal RNA, 347 nt
Filed under: uncultured eukaryote
Lineage: Eukaryota
Description: SSU rRNA
Rfam family: Eukaryotic small subunit ribosomal RNA
Source: RNAcentral